UCUUAAUGGGUAGGUGAAUGGGCUUUUUGUUGGGCUGAAUAUGAGAAUCCAAUCCAAUCUCCUCCACCAUCGUGUCUGUCACCAUACCUCCUAAACCAGAGCAUUGAAGAUUCGACGUCUUUUGAUGUCAAACAAAACCUCCUACGACGAGGAAGAGUGAGAGAAGAUAUCAAGAGACGAAGGGAGAAUAAGAAUUAGAAGCAUAUCUUCUUCCACCACGCCACGAAGUUUGAAGAUGAAAUAGAAGCACGAAUCGAGAAAGAAAAUUUUAAAAUCAUCGUUUGACGUUUUUGGUUGGAUACUUAAGAAUUUUAAGAAGUCAUAUUUACUAAAAGUCAAACGCCGAAUGUAGG
Molecule: small RNA, 353 nt
Filed under: Arabidopsis thaliana (thale cress)
Lineage: Eukaryota; Viridiplantae; Streptophyta; Magnoliopsida; Brassicales; Brassicaceae
Description: putative long intergenic non-coding RNA
Source: RNAcentral